CCCUGGCCUUGACAUACUAAGAACUUUCCAGAGAUGGAUUGGUGCCUUCGGGAACUUAGAUACAGGUGCUGCAUGGCUGUCGUCAGCUCGUGUCGUGAGAUGUUGGGUUAAGUCCGCAACGAGCGCAACCCUUUUCCUUAUUUGCCAGCGGGUAAUGCCGGGAACUUUAAGGAUACUGCCAGUGACAAACUGGAGGAAGGCGGGGACGACGUCAAGUCAUCAUGGCCCUUACGGCCAGGGCUACACACGUGCUACAAUGGUCGGUACAAAGGGUUGCUACCUCGCGAGAGGAUGCUAAUCUCAAAAAGCCGAUCGUAGUCCGGAUCGCAGUCUGCAACUCGACUGCGUGAAGUCGGAAUCGCUAGUAAUCGCGGAUCAGAAUGCCGCGGUGAAUACGUUCCCGGGCCUUGUACACACCGCCCGUCACACCAUGGGAGUUUGUUGCACCAGAAGUAGGUAGUCUAACCGCAAGGAGGACGCUUACCACGGUGUGGCCGAUGACUGGGGUGAAGUCGUAACAAGGUAAGCGUAGAUGA
RNAcentral lists this ribosomal RNA (536 nucleotides) under uncultured bacterium. RNAcentral describes it as "bacterial SSU rRNA". It matches the Rfam family "Bacterial small subunit ribosomal RNA", at positions 973 to 1509 of the family's 1533-position model. The record is from RNAcentral.